Molecule: ribosomal RNA, 497 nt
Filed under: uncultured bacterium
Lineage: Bacteria
Description: partial 16S ribosomal RNA
Rfam family: Bacterial small subunit ribosomal RNA
Source: RNAcentral
GAUGAACGCUGGCGGCGUGCCUAAUACAUGCAAGUCGAGCGAACAGACGAGGAGCUUGCUCCUCUGACGUUAGCGGCGGACGGGUGAGUAACACGUGGAUAACCUCCCUAUCAGACUGGGAUAACUUCGGGAAACCGGAGCUAAUACCGGAUAAUAUAUUGAACCGCAUGGUUCAAUAGUGAAAGACGGUUUUGCUGUCACUUAUAGAUGGAUCCGCGCCGCAUUAGCUAGUUGGUAAGGUAACGGCUUACCAAGGCAACGAUGCGUAGCCGACCUGAGAGGGUGAUCGGCCACACUGGAACUGAGACACGGGCCAGACUCCUACGGGAGGCAGCAGUAGGGAAUCUUCCGCAAUGGGCGAAAGCCUGACGGAGCAACGCCGCGUGAGUGAUGAAGGUCUUCGGAUCGUAAAACUCUGUUAUUAGGGAAGAACAAAUGUGUAAGUAACUAUGCACGUCUUGACGGUACCUAAUCAGAAAGCCACGGCUAACUACGUG